RNAcentral lists this long non-coding RNA (518 nucleotides) under Setaria viridis. Its description in RNAcentral is "long non-coding RNA (SVIR_LNC003073)". Lineage: Eukaryota; Viridiplantae; Streptophyta; Magnoliopsida; Poales; Poaceae. The record is from RNAcentral.
GUUUGCUCUUCGGGUCCAACACUGUGACGUGGCUUCGAUCAAUCUCGAUAACAAGCAGUAUCCAGUGGAACCAGUUCAUAUACAUAUACACACACAAUGUUAAAUAUACUUAUUAUUAACUUGAACGGAUGAUGGAAAAAAGGGAUGAAUGAUUCACUGAAAGUUGUACGGCAAAAGUAUGUAUUGCAUGUGAUGCUGUUUAUCUAGGAAGUUGAAAAUAGUCUUCAUAGUCUGAUUUGGCCAUUGCAUUAAGCAUUCCUCGUUUAUAACAUGCGGGUCCAUGAAGCCAACAUGAUAGUAUUGUUUUCUUCGGCAAUGUUGAAUCUCCAUUUUGCAUGAUACAAAAUAAAAGAGGGGAUGAUGAGGCGCACAAUUAAUGUAGGAGCUAGGAUGUAGAUAUCAGAGCAAACACUUAUAGAACCCAUGCACUAAUGAGGGACUUGAUAGACUUUCAAACUCAAUCCAUAUGUCAUCGGGCCCUCGAAAGUAAUCAUGAUCUUGAACCCGACUAGCGAAUA